RNAcentral lists this long non-coding RNA (1191 nucleotides) under Volvox carteri. RNAcentral describes it as "long non-coding RNA (VCAR_LNC002816)". Lineage: Eukaryota; Viridiplantae; Chlorophyta; Chlorophyceae; Chlamydomonadales; Volvocaceae. The record is from RNAcentral.
AGUCCCCAGGAGCAGUGCUGGUUCGCAAGCAGGAUAACCAACACGGCGAGCUUUCGCAGGAUUACAUUGCCUCCAUAGACCUCACCUGGUAGGAGCAGAAUCCAUCUGCUGCUAGGAGUAUUACCAUUUUCACUUUUACCCAUCUCCAUGCGGGUAUGCGCACACUGUAUUUAUCUACACCAUUAGGAGCCCCAUUAGGCAACAUAUUACCAAACCUGCGCUAUCCUACCACUUCCACAACAAGUGCGUUUGCGGGUUAAGUGGCUUGAGCUGGCAGCAACAUACAUACAUUCGUACAUGUAACCAUUGCCCCCGAGAGUUUCCGGGAUCGAUACCUGUCAAGACCAAAAAUCCCUCCGAUUGUGGAAGGUAUUGCGCCCCUAGUUGAUAAUGGACGGUGGUGACCUGGGAAAAAGUUACCUCGCGAUGACGACCACGAAUGGAGAUGGGCCAUUGUCGACCCGGCAGAUACCGUUGGAUGCUGGUGGUGGGUGCGGAACCUUAGCGAUCCACUGAGAAGCUGACUAGGGUGACAGGAUGAGGGUGCCCCGAAAUACCGGGGAAGGCAGGUUUCGCGGGCUAGCUGCCAUGGGUGAAGAUAUACCCCCCUGUUUCACACAUCAUACAUGCCUCCAUCUCACCAUCGCCAGCGAAUGAUUACUGAACAAGGCCUGUGCGCCUGCAUACAUUAUAGGCAGGCGGCUGGCGGCUGGCAGAAGGCAGGCGGCUGGCAGAGGUUAAGGCCUGACUUCUGCUCCCAGUUGACCCAGUCGACCCGGGUUCAAAUCCGCCUGCCGGCUCCUCGGGUGUUUGAGGAGUGAUGAAAUGGGAGGUGGCCCCCCAUCUUAUGGACGGUGUAGGACGUGAUAAUAUCAACUUGCGAGCUGACCAGGAACUAAGUUGAUGCGCCGUUGAUCCGCUAGAUUUGGUUGGAUGCUGGUGGUGAGUUGCCGAACUCAACGAAUACAUUCUGAAGUCGGAUGGGGUGACGGAUUAGGGUGCCCCUCUAGCAGGGGAGAGCAGGGACUGCCCCGGGAAAGGGGGCCGCUGGCGAAGUUAACCACCCUGUAACAACAUACAUUAUAAUUGGCUGUCUUCGCGGAAUGAUUGCAUAGCAGACUAGAAAUGGUGCGUGUGCACAGGAACAGAACACGGAAGAAGCCAAGGGCUGCAAAUAACGUAAGCAAGCAA